CUGUUUGUAGAUUGUUCCUUGAGAGAGCCCGGAUGGAGUCCCGUUAUCCUCUGCACGAGUGUGCCACCUUGCAAGUGGGUAACGGAGGUCAGGUCGCAGGAGGGGUUUUCUGCAGGGUCGUCACGAGGACCCGGCCACACCAGGACUUGUGCAGACUGCACAGGGCCCGGCCCAGGGACCCAGUGUCCAGAGGUGGCAAUGAGGGUGUUCAGGAGCACUUCUGCCAAAGAGGGCACCUUGAUCUCAGUGGAGAGGUGGUCAGUGGCCCCGUGGGCUUGUGCAUCAGAGACAGAGAGAGAUGGAGCAGAUGCCUGAAGCAGAAGGAAGAAUCCCCUAAGUCACAAGAAACUCUGCAUUCAUCAAAAAGCUUAACCAAGACAAGAAGGAUGGAGCCAGUCAACAGAAGAUUGAGGUGGGGGAGCAGACAGACGAAGCAGACAUCAAUUUCGGCCAGCCCUCUGCAGUCCUCCCAGGGGCCCAGGCAGGAAGACAACUGGCUGCAGCACCUGCAACACUAA
Molecule: long non-coding RNA, 518 nt
Filed under: Chinchilla lanigera (long-tailed chinchilla)
Lineage: Eukaryota; Metazoa; Chordata; Mammalia; Rodentia; Chinchillidae
Description: lncRNA (ENSCLAG00000024504.1)
Source: RNAcentral